AACGUCUCCGAGACUGAGACAUUUUCCAAACAGUGCUGACAUUUUGUCGGGCCCCAUAAAAAAUGUAAACGCGAGGUGACGAACCCGGCGGGGAGGGUUCGUGUCUGGCUGUGUCUGCGUCCUGGCGGCGUGGGAGGUUAUAGUUCCAGACCUGGCGGCUGCGGAUCGCCGGGCCGGUACCCGCGAGGAGUGUAGGUACCCUCAGCCCGACCACCUCCCGCAAUCAUGGGGACACCGGCUUGGAUGAGACACAGGCGUGGAAAACAGCCUUCGUGAAACUCCACAAACACGUGGAACUUGAAAAGACAACUACAGCCCCGCGUGUGCGCGAGAGACCUCACGUCACCCCAUCAGUUCCCACUUCGCCAAAGUUUCCCUUCAGUGGGGACUCCAGAGUGGUGCGCCCCAUGCCCGUGCGUCCUGUAACGUGCCCUGAUUGUGUACCCCUCUGCCCGCUCUACUUGAAAUGAAAACACAAAAACUGUUCCGAAUUAGCGCAACUUUAAAGCCCCGUUAUCUGUCUUCUACACUGGGCGCUCUUAGGCCACUGACAGAAACAUGGUUUGAACCCUAAUUGUUGCUAUCAGUCUCAGUCAGCGCAGGUCUCUCAGUGACCUGUGACGCCGGGAGUUGAGGUGCGCGUAUCCUUAAACCCGCGCGAACGCCACCGGCUCAGCGUAGAAAACUAUUUGUAAUCCCUAGUUUGCGUCUCUGAGCUUUAACUCCCCCACACUCUCAAGCGCCCGGUUUCUCCUCGUCUCUCGCCUGCGAGCAAAGUUCCUAUGGCAUCCACUUACCAGGGCAGGAAACCCUACUUCCACCAGACAUGUAUUUGUUUAUUCACUCAGGCAGGUGGUAUGUUGGAAGAAGAGUGGACUUUGGAAUCAGAAAACCUGGAAUCCCAACUUCACCGCUAACCGAGAGACCUUGAGCUGGUUCCUAAACCACGGGGAACUUCAGUUCCACUACAUGAGUUAUUGCAAAGGUUGAAUCGGAAUUGUGACACUGGCCAGCACACGUGUGAAACCAGGGGCAUCCCCUAUUGAUAAGGAGCCCAGCCCAAGAGCUUCAAGGGAAAUUGACCCCAGCCCCAGCUCCACUGAUGGGCUCGAUGAUUCAGAGAGGAAUCUCACUCCCUUGGUCAAAGUGAAUGGCUCAUAAAUCUGGGCCUAAGUCAAUCCGUGCAAGACAUUCCCCUGGCCAUAGGGAUUGGUUAAAAAAUGGACAUGUAACCCAGUUUGGGCUAAAUGAGAUGUGAACAGGAAAGUUAUUUGAUAGCUUCUGAGGAAGGUAGCUUCUCUUCUUUCUAGAGAGCCACUGGAAAGGUAGCCUUUUCUCCUCUGUGUUGUGGAGAGAAAAAAAAAGUGAAACUGUCUCCCUCUCAGCCCACACAGAAGGCUCACACUUGGUGAAGGGAAGGGUGGAGAAGAUUACAGAGAAUAGCCCUGAUGGAACCACACCUGAUUUCUACCUGACCUCUUAAUUUUUUCAUUUGUACAAGUCAGUAAAUGCCUUUUAAUUUUUAAACAAAUAAUUACAGCAACUUAUAGAGGUACCUAAGGUAUUAAGUUACCAUCAUGAAUACAAAGAUAAGCAAGACAAACUUCAAGGGGCUCACCACCUAAUAAAUAUUAUACUU
This 1639-nucleotide long non-coding RNA is filed under the name Homo sapiens (human). RNAcentral describes it as "HSALNT0350982". Lineage: Eukaryota; Metazoa; Chordata; Mammalia; Primates; Hominidae. The record is from RNAcentral.